This 67-nucleotide transfer RNA is filed under the name Paratenetus tropicalis. RNAcentral describes it as "tRNA-Ser". RNAcentral also lists the same sequence under 1 other name. Lineage: Eukaryota; Metazoa; Arthropoda; Insecta; Coleoptera; Tenebrionidae. The record is from RNAcentral.
AACUAAUGAGCUUGAAUAAGCAUAUACCUUGAAAGUAUGUCAUAGAAUUAUUACAUUCUAUUAGUUU